UUAUGCUGAACAUUAUUGUAAAUCACAGAUGUUCACAUGUCUUUUCGCAAAGUAAAGCUUUGUUCAAAUCUAUGCAUUUAGUUACCUUCCGUAUGUUUUCUGUGAUUGAAUACACAAUUCUUAACUGAUGUAACUUGUAAAGGGGAUCUAGAAACUAAGAUGCAUUACUAGAACUUAUGUGUUGUGCAUGCCGACUUUGGGGAUCUAGAAACUUAAUUGAACAUCGACCACGUGCAGAAGAUUAGUGUAGAACGA
RNAcentral lists this long non-coding RNA (255 nucleotides) under Mytilus galloprovincialis (Mediterranean mussel). Lineage: Eukaryota; Metazoa; Mollusca; Bivalvia; Mytilida; Mytilidae. The record is from RNAcentral.